CUUGAUCGACCCCAGCCACAACGGCUCGGCCCGGUCCCGCCCGUACGUGGCGAGCAGCGCGUGCGCCUC
RNAcentral lists this antisense RNA (69 nucleotides) under Micromonospora sp. HK10. RNAcentral describes it as "ASpks sRNA". It matches the Rfam family "ASpks TB sRNA". The record is from RNAcentral. Lineage: Bacteria; Bacillati; Actinomycetota; Actinomycetes; Micromonosporales; Micromonosporaceae.